AUGAUGUCAGCACAAGUAGCGUAAAGGCAGGUGAAAAACCUGCCCGCCGUAAGUCUAAGGUUUCCUGGGGAAGGUUAAUCCGCCCAGGGUUAGUCGGUCCUAAGCCGAGGCCGCAAGGAGUAGGCGAUGGAGAACAGGUUAAUAUUCCUGUACCACCUUUGUGACGUUUGACUGAAGGGGCCCGCAGAAGGAUAGGCGCAGCCGGGCGUUGGUCGUCCCGGUCCAAGCUUUUAGGGGGGCAUGUAGGCAAAUCCGCAUGCCAUUAACCCUGAGGAGUGACGGGGAGCCCGCAAGGGCGAACUGGCUGAUUCCAAGCUGCCUAGAAAAACCUCGUAGGGAGUCAUGAGGGUGACCGUACCGCAAACCGACACAGGUAGACGGGGAGAGGAUCCCAAGGCGAUCGAGAGAACUCUCGCAAAGGAACUCGGCAAAUUGACCCCGUAACUUCGGAAUAAGGGGUGCCUCACUAGGGUGUCACAGCCCGAAGGGGUAGCAUCAAAGCGGCUCAGGCGACUGUUUACCAAAAACAUAGGUGCCUGCAAACUCGUAAGAGGACGUAUAGGCACUGACACCUGCCCGGUGCCGGAAGGUUAACAGGAGGGGUCAGCGCAAGCGAAGCCCUGAAUCGAAGCCCCGGUAAACGGCGGCCGUAACUAUAACGGUCCUAAGGUAGCGAAAUUCCUUGUCGGGUAAGUUCCGACCUGCACGAAUGGUGUAACGAUCUGAGCACUGUCUCUGCGAGAGACUCGGCGAACCUGAGAUACCGGUGCAGACGCCGGUUACCUGCAGCUAGACGGAAAGACCCCGUGAACCUUUACUACAGCUUGGCAUUGGAUUUUGGUCAUUCAUGUGUAGGAUAGGUGGGAGGCGUUGAAGCCAUGCCGCUAGGUGUGGUGGAGCCAGCCUUGAAAUACCACCCUUGGAUGUCCGGGAUUCUAACCGACUUGUUAAUCCGCAAGCGGGACAAUGUCUGGUGGGUAGUUUGACUGGGGCGGUCGCCUCCCAAAGUGUAACGGAGGCGCCCAAAGGUUCCCUCAGGCUGGACGGAAAUCAGCCUUCGAGUGCAAAGGCAUAAGGGAGCUUGACUGUGAGACCGACGGGUCGAGCAGGUACGAAAGUAGGGCUUAGUGAUCCGGUGGUUCUUCGUGGGAGGGCCAUCGCUCAACGGAUAAAAGGUACUCCGGGGAUAACAGGCUGAUCGCGUCCAAGAGUUCACAUCGACGACGCGGUUUGGCACCUCGAUGUCGGCUCAUCGCAUCCUGGGGCUGAAGUCGGUCCCAAGGGUUUGGCUGUUCGCCAAUUAAAGCGGUACGCGAGCUGGGUUCAGAACGUCGUGAGACAGUUCGGUCCCUAUCUGCUGUAGGCGUUGGAGAUUUGAGGGGAGCUGUUCCUAGUACGAGAGGACCGGAAUGGACGAACCUCUGGUGUUCCAGUUGUUCUGCCAAGGGCAACGCUGGGUAGCUAUGUUCGGAACGGAUAACCGCUGAAGGCAUCUAAGCGGGAAGCCAACCCCAAGAUGAGAUCUCCCGUGACUUAAGUCACCUCAAGGUCCGUGGAAGACCACCACGUUGAUAGGCUGGAUGUGUAAGCACAGCAAUGUGUUCAGCUAACCAGUACUAAUUGACCGUGUGCCUUGACCCC
RNAcentral lists this ribosomal RNA (1641 nucleotides) under Nitrospirota bacterium. RNAcentral describes it as "bacterial LSU rRNA". It matches the Rfam family "Bacterial large subunit ribosomal RNA", at positions 1291 to 2925 of the family's 2925-position model. The record is from RNAcentral. Lineage: Bacteria; Pseudomonadati; Nitrospirota.